UACAGAGGGGGCAAGCGUUGUUCGGAAUUACUGGGCGUAAAGGGCGCGUAGGCGGCCUUCUAAGUCGAACGUGAAAUCCCCGGGCUCAACCCGGGAACUGCGUCCGAUACUGGAAGGCUUGAAUCCGGGAGAGGGAUGCGGAAUUCCAGGUGUAGCGGUGAAAUGCGUAGAUAUCUGGAGGAACACCGAUGGCGAAGGCAGGUCUCUGGGCCACUACUGACGCUGAGAAGCGAAAGCAUGGGGAGCGAACAGG
Molecule: ribosomal RNA, 253 nt
Filed under: uncultured bacterium
Lineage: Bacteria
Description: partial 16S ribosomal RNA
Rfam family: Bacterial small subunit ribosomal RNA
Source: RNAcentral